GUAACAAAGCUGGUGAAGGGACUAGAAAACAGGACUUACAAGGUGUGAUUGAGAGAAUCUGGGGUUGUUUAAUCUGGAGAAGAGGAAGCUGAGGGGAGACCUCAUUGCUCUCUACAACUACUUGAAGGGAGGUUGCAGUGAGGAGAGUGUUGGUCUCUUUUCUCCACAUUGGAACAGGCUGCCUGGGUAAGUGGUGGAGUCUCCAUCCCUGAAGGUUUAAGAGGUGUAUGGAUGUGGCACUAAGGGACAUGGUUUAGUGAUGGGGCUCAGUAGGUCAGGUUCAUGAUUGUACUUGUUGAUCUUGAAGGUUUUCUCCAACCUAGAUGAUUUUAUGAUUCUAUGAUGAAAAUAUCUAAAUGAAGCUGAAACUCAUGUUUGACACCUUGAUAUUCUGCUGUAGUGAGAGGUCCUUUACCUUUCUGGUUUAGUGAUUGCUGUAACUGAGGUUGAUUGGUGCCUGAGAAUUAUUGCCGUCAUUAUGAAAAGCGUACAAUGCACUUGAUAAACAGCAUACAGUCCUGUUGUUUGAUUAGUUGUUGCUUACACAAAUUUUAGCUUUUAUCUAACUGUAAGAAAUCAGUGAAACUGAACAAAACAAACACUGCUCUAAGCAAGAAAAGGCGUAAUAAAAUCACUCCCCCCCCC
Molecule: long non-coding RNA, 645 nt
Organism: Oxyura jamaicensis (ruddy duck)
Lineage: Eukaryota; Metazoa; Chordata; Aves; Anseriformes; Anatidae
Exons: 2
Source: RefSeq, a predicted model, not a curated record